GUAUCGCCCGGCCUCACGGCCGGGCGCGGAUUGAAAC
Molecule: non-coding RNA, 37 nt
Organism: Thiobacillus sp. 65-29
Lineage: Bacteria; Pseudomonadati; Pseudomonadota; Betaproteobacteria; Nitrosomonadales; Thiobacillaceae
Source: Rfam